CCUACGGGACGCACCAGUAGGGAAUCUUCGGCAAUGGACGAAAGUCUGACCGAGCAACGCCGCGUGAGUGAAGAAGGUUUUCGGAUCGUAAAACUCUGUUGUUAGAGAAGAACAAGUAGGAGAGUAACUGCUCUUACCUUGACGGUAUCUAACCAGAAAGCCACGGCUAACUACGUGCCAGUAGCCGCGGUAAUACGUAGGUGGCAAGCGUUGUCCGGAUUUAUUGGGCGUAAAGCGAGCGCAGGCGGUCUUUUAAGUCUGAUGUGAAAGCCCUCGGCUCAACCGAGGAAGGUCAUUGGAAACUGGAGGACCUGAGUGCAGAAGAGGAGAGUGGGAUUCCAUGCGUAGCGGUGAAAUGCGUAGAUAUAUGGAGGAACACCAGUGGCGAAGGCGACUCUCUGGUCUGUAACUGACGCUGAGGCUCGAAAGCGUGGGGAGCAAACAGGAUUAGAUACCCGAGUAGUC
Molecule: ribosomal RNA, 465 nt
Filed under: uncultured bacterium
Lineage: Bacteria
Description: bacterial SSU rRNA
Rfam family: Bacterial small subunit ribosomal RNA
Source: RNAcentral